Chelonoidis abingdonii (Abingdon island giant tortoise) is the source of this 1176-nucleotide non-coding RNA. Lineage: Eukaryota; Metazoa; Chordata; Testudines; Testudinidae. The record is from RefSeq and is a predicted model, not a curated record.
AAUUAAAAAAUCAGGUAUUCAAUGGUUUAACAUAUGGAGCAGGGGGGCAGUGAAGACACUUCGUGCCUGGGAUGCCACUUGGUCUAGGGGAGGCCCUGUCAGGGAAAGCAGGAGUUAGUGUCACAUGCCUAUUUUCAGGCUGAAAUCUGUGGGCACCCUACUCUGUGGGAGGGAUCGUGGUAGCCCAGACUCAGGGCUGGAACAGGUCCCUGAUUGAGGGGGUGGCUGCAUGGUUUACAGCACUCUGAUGUCUCAGACAAUGUGUCUCUCCCAAAGCCUCAGAUCUGUGUCCCCAGAAGGCUCCUGCGCUGCCUCCGCUCCUUUCACAGUCUAUAGCCAGGAGCAGCAGCAAGGGUCAGGGAUGAGCCAUAGGGCACUAGGUGGGGGGCAGAGGCUUCAGGAGGAAACCCAGCACCCAAAGCAGAGGGAGAUAUGAGGCUUUUUCUCUUUCCUUAGCGAUGUGCUAUAGCUCCGAGAGCUCUUUGAAAUGCCUCCCCACCCACAGCCUGGGAAAGGGGAAGGAGUCUCAGGUUCUAGCUUGAUUUGAAUGAGGAUCACUGGACCCUAGAACCAUUCACUGCCCUUUCCUAGGGAAACCUGUGAUGCACAGAACGGGACUGAGAUAACAGCUGACAGGAGUCAGGAAUUGCUCCCCUGGAACAGCAGCAGGAUUGGGCAGCUGGAAAUCUCACCAAAGGAGCUGAAACCUUGAUGGUUCAGACAUAGAUGUCCCAGGGUCUCUCUUCUGCCAGAUUUUAAGAAAGUCAGGCCACCUUGCAGACUAUGGCAGAGCAGUUUGGUAUUAAGCUGCAGGACUUACAAUGUAAGAGUGCAGCUGCUGUAGCACCUUGACCAAUCUUGGGCUAAAUCCUGCAGCCUCAACAGCCCAGGAUAACCUCCCACUGAUGGUGAUGGGAAUUUAGCCUUUGUAACUAUCUGCUGGUACCUGAGGUCUCAUCUAUGAAUUAAACUGGGGGCAGAGACAGCUCUAUCCAAAGAAGUGGAGGAUGUAAGUGAAAGAGCAAAGCUGUCCAUCUGGGGAGCUGCUGCAGUUCCGUAACAACAGCUGGAAGGGAAAAGAGGGAAAACGCCUGGAGCAGCCCCGAGAAAAGGAAAUUUGUCAAUGAGAUCAGUAGCAAUAAAUGAGAAAUGACGGAGUGCUUUCUCCUCUGAGCU